RNAcentral lists this ribosomal RNA (958 nucleotides) under uncultured bacterium. RNAcentral describes it as "bacterial SSU rRNA". It matches the Rfam family "Bacterial small subunit ribosomal RNA", at positions 8 to 1001 of the family's 1533-position model. The record is from RNAcentral.
AGAGUUUGAUCCUGGCUCAGAAUCAACGCUGGCGGCGUGCCUAACACAUGCAAGUCGAACGAGAAAGUGGAGCAAUCCAUGAGUAAAGUGGCGACCGGGUGAGUAACACGUGACUAACCUACCUCCGAGUGGGGAAUAACUCCGGGAAACCGGGGCUAAUACCGCAUAACAUCACAAGAUCAAAGCAGCAAUGCGCUUGGAGAGGGGGUCGCGGCUGAUUAGCUAGUUGGCGGGGUAACGGCCCACCAAGGCGAAGAUCGGUAUCCGGCCUGAGAGGGCGCACGGACACACUGGAACUGAAACACGGUCCAGACUCCUACGGGAGGCAGCAGUGGGGAAUUUUGCGCAAUGGGGGAAACCCUGACGCAGCAACGCCGCGUGGAGGAUGAAGUCCCUUGGGACGUAAACUCCUUUCGACCAAGACGAUAAUGACGGUACUGGUGGAAGAAGCACCGGCUAACUCUGUGCCAGCAGCCGCGGUAAUACAGAGGGUGCGAGCGUUGUUCGGAAUUAUUGGGCGUAAAGGGCGCGUAGGCGGUGCCACAAGUCACCUGUGAAAUCUCCGGGCUUAACUCGGAGUCUGCAGGCGAAACUGUGGUGCUGGAGUGUGGGAGAGGUGCGUGGAAUUCCCGGUGUAGCGGUGAAAUGCGUAGAUAUCGGGAGGAACACCUGUGGCGAAAGCGGCGCACUGGACCAUAACUGACGCUGAGGCGCGAAAGCUAGGGGAGCAAACAGGAUUAGAUACCCUGGUAGUCCUAGCCCUAAACGAUGAUUGCUUGGUGUAGCAGGUACCCAAUCCUGCUGUGCCGCAGCUAACGCGAUAAGCAAUCCGCCUGGGGAGUACGUCGCAAGGCUGAACUCAAGGAAUUGACGGGGCCCGCACAAGCGGUGGAGCAUGUGGUUCAAUUCGACGCAACGCGAAGAACCUUACCUGGGCUCGAAAUGCAGGAGACCAGAG